AUGUUCAACUUGGUAGCACAUAUACUAAAAUUGGAAUGAUGAGAAGAUUAGCAUGGACUGAGCAAAACGAUGAUGUGCAAAUUCGUGAAGGGUUCCACAUUUUU
Small nuclear RNA from Phodopus roborovskii (desert hamster), 104 nucleotides. NCBI's taxonomy places the organism in Eukaryota, Metazoa, Chordata, Mammalia, Rodentia, Cricetidae. The record is from RefSeq and is a predicted model, not a curated record.